UACGGAGGAUGCGAGCGUUAUCCGGAUUUAUUGGGUUUAAAGGGUGCGUAGGCGGGCUUUUAAGUCAGCGGUAAAAGUUCGGGACUCAACCCCGUCCGGCCGUUGAAACUGGGGGUCUUGAGUGGGCGAGAAGAAGGCGGAAUGCGUGGUGUAGCGGUGAAAUGCAUAGAUAUCACGCAGAACCCCGAUUGCGAAGGCAGCCUUCCGGCGCCCUACUGACGCUGAGGCACGAAAGUGCGGGGAUCGAACAGG
This 252-nucleotide ribosomal RNA is filed under the name uncultured bacterium. Its description in RNAcentral is "partial 16S ribosomal RNA". It matches the Rfam family "Bacterial small subunit ribosomal RNA", at positions 524 to 776 of the family's 1533-position model. The record is from RNAcentral.